GACGAACGCUGGCGGCGUGCUUAACACAUGCAAGUCGAACGAAGAGCGAUGGAAGCUUGCUUCUAUCAAUCUUAGUGGCGAACGGGUGAGUAACGCGUAAUCAACCUGCCCUUCAGAGGGGGACAACAGUUGGAAACGACUGCUAAUACCGCAUACGAUCUAAUCUCGGCAUCGAGGAUAGAUGAAAGGUGGCCUCUACAUGUAAGCUAUCACUGAAGGAGGGGAUUGCGUCUGAUUAGCUAGUUGGAGGGGUAACGGCCCACCAAGGCGAUGAUCAGUAGCCGGUCUGAGAGGAUGAACGGCCACAUUGGGACUGAGAAACGGCCCAGACUCCUACGGGAGCAGCAGUGGGGAAUCUUCCGGAAUGGACGAAAGUCUGACGGAGCAACGCCGCGUGAGCGAUGACGGCCUUCGGGUUGUAAAGCUCUGUUAAUCGGGACGAAAGGCCUUCUUGCGAAUAGUGAGAAGGAUUGACGGUACCGGAAUAGAAAGCCACGGCUAACUACGUG
RNAcentral lists this ribosomal RNA (509 nucleotides) under uncultured bacterium. Its description in RNAcentral is "partial 16S ribosomal RNA". It matches the Rfam family "Bacterial small subunit ribosomal RNA", at positions 28 to 507 of the family's 1533-position model. The record is from RNAcentral.